Molecule: non-coding RNA, 72 nt
Organism: Ornithorhynchus anatinus (platypus)
Lineage: Eukaryota; Metazoa; Chordata; Mammalia; Monotremata; Ornithorhynchidae
Source: Rfam
AGCAGCGUGGCUCAGGGGCAAGAGCCCGGGCUUGGGAGUCAGAGGUCACGGGUUCGAAUCCCGGCUCUGCCA